This 1413-nucleotide ribosomal RNA is filed under the name Salmonella enterica subsp. enterica. Its description in RNAcentral is "partial 23S ribosomal RNA". It matches the Rfam family "Bacterial large subunit ribosomal RNA", at positions 1 to 1410 of the family's 2925-position model. Lineage: Bacteria; Pseudomonadati; Pseudomonadota; Gammaproteobacteria; Enterobacterales; Enterobacteriaceae. The record is from RNAcentral.
GUUGAUAAGGUUAAGUGAAUAAGGGCGCACGGUGGAUGCCUUGGCACUAGGAGCCGAUGAAGGACGGGACUAACACCGAUAUGCUUUGGGGAGCUGUACGUAAGCUAUGAUCCAGAGAUUUCCGAAUGGGGGAACCCAGCAUCUUUAAUAGGAUGUUACGAUUGUGUGAAUACAUAGCACAUUCGAGGUAGACGCAGAGAACUGAAACAUCUAAGUACCUGCAGGAAGAGAAAGAAAAUUCGAUUCCCUGAGUAGCGGCGAGCGAAACGGGAAAAGCCCAAACCAACAAGCUUGCUUGUUGGGGUUGUAGGACUCCAAUAUGGUCGUUCUUUCAGAUAGUCGAAUGACUUGGAAAAGUCAGUCAAAGAGGGUAAAAACCCCGUAGACGAAAUGUGGAAGACACCUAGGAGGAUCCUGAGUACGGCGGAACACGAGAAAUUCCGUCGGAAUCCGGGAGGACCAUCUCCCAAGGCUAAAUACUCCCUAGUGACCGAUAGUGAACCAGUACCGUGAGGGAAAGGUGAAAAGCACCCCGGAAGGGGAGUGAAAUAGAACCUGAAACCGUGUGCCUACAACAAGUCAAAGCCCGUUAAUGGGUGAUGGCGUGCCUUUUGUAGAAUGAACCGGCGAGUUACGAUUGCAUGCGAGGUUAAGUUGAAGAGACGGAGCCGCAGCGAAAGCGAGUCUGAAUAGGGCGUUUGAGUAUGUAGUCGUAGACCCGAAACCAUGUGAUCUACCCAUGUCCAGGUUGAAGGUGCGGUAAAACGCACUGGAGGACCGAACCCACGUACGUUGAAAAGUGCGGGGAUGAGGUGUGGGUAGCGGAGAAAUUCCAAACGAACUUGGAGAUAGCUGGUUCUCUCCGAAAUAGCUUUAGGGCUAGCCUCGGAAUUGAGAAUGAUGGAGGUAGAGCACUGUUUGGACUAGGGGCCCAUCUCGGGUUACCGAAUUCAGAUAAACUCCGAAUGCCAUUCAUUCAUAUCCGGGAGUCAGACUGUGAGUGAUAAGAUCCAUAGUCGAAAGGGAAACAGCCCAGACCACCAGCUAAGGUCCCAAAAUAUAUGUUAAGUGGAAAAGGAUGUGGGGUUGCACAGACAACUAGGAUGUUGGCUUAGAAGCAGCCACCAUUUAAAGAGUGCGUAAUAGCUCACUAGUCGAGUGACCCUGCGCCGAAAAUGUACCGGGGCUAAACAUAUUACCGAAGCUGUGGAGUACACCUUUAGGUGUAUUGGUAGGAGAGCGUUCUAAGGGCGUCGAAGGCAGAUCGUGAGGACUGCUGGAGCGCUUAGAAGUGAGAAUGCCGGUAUGAGUAGCGAAAGACAGGUGAGAAUCCUGUCCACCGAAUGACUAAGGUUUCCUGGGGAAGGCUCGUCCGCCCAGGGUUAGUCGGGACCUAAGCCGAGGCCGAUAGGC